UCUUUAUUAUUUUGUGUGAAUAGGAGCUUAUGUACACGCAACCCGAUAUAUAAAGUGGGAAGUUUCUAUUUCAAGAAAUGGCAACAAGUGUCUGCAGACAUGCUCACUUCGCAUUGCAGUGGAGUUGAGGAAAGGUCAAUUCCCAGAGACAUCUUUCAGAACGCUCGCCCAUUUGGCGCCAGAUCUCUGCUCAGUCAUUCUCCAGAUUCAGUGUCAGGGGGCACAAAAGGACUCCUCGAGUACAAUGUGGGAACCCUCAGAGGUGGCAUCCUUUUGUCCAUUGACUGCGCGUCCUUUGACACAACUUAAAACAGCACACCUUUAUUCUCUCACCUUUCUAAAAUACUUCUUAACUCGUACGCAUUUGCUAUGGUGCGGAGCCCACGGAAUAUCUCUGCUGAGAUCAUGUCUUGAUCCCAUUGCCUUGUUGUGGCAAAUUACACAGGGCAGAUGCCAGGAAUCGGCAGCCUCUGUCGAGAAACUUAAUCCAUUUUAUUGGGGAAGAAAAAAACCUAAUCCGUAAUCCAAUGAGUUCCCCGAUAAAGGGCCUAAUGAGGCGAGCGCGGAAUUUGCAGGGCUGUCAUUUGAGCAGCCUCCGAUGCAGUACCGAAGCCGGUGUUGAAUGAAAUUACACGCAAUUUUUGACCAGUGCAAUUG
Molecule: long non-coding RNA, 657 nt
Organism: Phlebotomus argentipes
Lineage: Eukaryota; Metazoa; Arthropoda; Insecta; Diptera; Psychodidae
Exons: 3
Source: RefSeq, a predicted model, not a curated record